This 961-nucleotide ribosomal RNA is filed under the name uncultured bacterium. RNAcentral's name for it is "bacterial SSU rRNA". It matches the Rfam family "Bacterial small subunit ribosomal RNA", at positions 56 to 1016 of the family's 1533-position model. The record is from RNAcentral.
UGCAGUCGAGCGAGAAAGCCCUUCGGGGUGAGUACAGCGGCGGACGGGUGAGUAACGCGUAGGAAUCUACCUAGUAGUGGGGGACAACUCGUGGAAACGCGAGCUAAUACCGCAUACGCCCUACGGGGGAAAGCGGGGGAUCUUCGGACCUCGUGCUAUUAGAUGAGCCUGCGUAAGAUUAGCUAGUUGGUGGGGUAAUGGCCUACCAAGGCGACGAUCUUUAGCUGGUCUGAGAGGAUGAUCAGCCACACCGGGACUGAGACACGGCCCGGACUCCUACGGGAGGCAGCAGUCGGGAAUAUUGCGCAAUGGGCGAAAGCCUGACGCAGCCAUGCCGCGUGUGUGAAGAAGGCCCUAGGGUUGUAAAGCACUUUCAAUUGGGAGGAAAAGCUAAUGGUUAAUAGCCAUUAGCCCUGACGUUACCUUUAGAAGAAGCACCGGCUAACUCCGUGCCAGCAGCCGCGGUAAUACGGAGGGUGCAAGCGUUAAUCGGAAUUACUGGGCGUAAAGCGCGCGUAGGCGGUUUUUUAAGUCGGAUGUGAAAGCCCCGGGCUCAACCUGGGAAUUGCAUCCGAUACUGGAUGACUAGAAUGCGGGAGAGGGAGGUAGAAUUCCAUGUGUAGCAGUGAAAUGCGUAGAUAUAUGGAGGAAUACCAGUGGCGAAGGCGGCCUCCUGGCUCGACAUUGACGCUGAGGUGCGAAAGCGUGGGGAGCAAACGGGAUUAGAUACCCCGGUAGUCCACGCCGUAAACGAUGUCUACUAGCUGUAGGGGUACUUGAGACCUUUGUAGCGCAGCUAACGCAAUAAGUAGACCGCCUGGGGAGUACGGCCGCAAGGUUAAAACUCAAAUGAAUUGACGGGGGCCCGCACAAGCAGUGGAGCAUGUGGUUUAAUUCGAUGCAACGCGAAGAACCUUACCAGGCCUUGACAUCCCCGGAACUUUCUAGAGAUAGAUUGGUG